CCCCCACCCACGACUCCCGUAUUGUCGAGGUACGCGUUGAUCGGCCACUUGCGAUUUGCGUUUGGGCGUGCGAGCGACUGUCUCUCCCCCUCUGCAGCAACGUUACUGUGGCGCGUGUCGUGGCUAUCCCGCUCUCCAUCCCCCCCCUUCCCUCUCAUCAGCCCAUAUACUGUUCCUCAGCGCCGCCUCUCCCCCUUGCCAGUGUAUUAUUGUCUUCACGUGCGUGAACCUGGCACUCAUCUGGUGCUUCUGUUGGCAUUGCCGUGCCCAGCGGUGAGCCUGUUGGUGCUGCUGCCCCCUCCCCACCUCACUCACCCCCCCCCCAUCUCAUCCUCCCUUCGUAUCGUCCAUCCUCGACCUCCUUGCCACACAUCCAGUGCGUAGUAGUCCCCCAUAUAUAUAUACACCGUACACGUACAUAUAUAUAUUUGCUUGACCUUCUCCCCACCCCCUCAUCAUUCACCUCCCCUUCCCCGUGCACCUCCCCUCGCACCUCUCGGCACGCACGCGCGUGGGCUUCCUUCUUUUUCGCUUGCGUCUUGCGCAUCCCCCCUUUUUCUUCGCUCUCCCUGCACCGCCACGUAAAACCACGGCGGGGAGGGUCCGGAGGUGCACAGGUGUCGUGUGCACACACGCUCAUCUACGCAGUCGAAGAGGUCCGGUCGUCUUCGGCUCUCGCGUAUUUGAGUAGGGAGUGCGCCAAACACACACACACACCAAAUAGGCUCUCGUAGAUCAUCGUGUGCGGGGAAUCUGCAGUCGGUGCUCUAGCACCGGUCUCCUUCAUCUUUCCUCACUACCACCCGUGUACCAUCUUGCCGUCGACGAUGGCGCAUCAUCAGCCCACAAAUGUGGAGGUGGAAAACAAGGUAGCCUUCUUCGUUCAGCUCAACGCCUUGCUCACGCGGAUCAGCUCCGUGGUGAGCAGCGAUGCCCUCAGCAGUGCGCAGAAGGCAAAACUGAGCGACGUGCGUAGCGCCACCGAGGCAUGGCUAAAGGACGUCGGCGUUAUUAGUGCACCACGCCCCUUCAUCGCCGCCGCACCACCACCACCACCACCACCACCGACGCCGCUGCGCUCAUCCGUAACGGAGACCCCUGCAGCAGCAGCGCCCCUGUCGGAAACGGUGGCAGCCAGCAAGCAGCAAGACGAAGAGCAGGCAGAGGCAGCACUGACCCAGGCACCCGAAGCACCAGCGGCAGAGCAAGCGACGGCAACAACGUCAUCGGCUGCAGACGGCCCUGCGCGUGCAUCGGCGUCGCCGGCUACGCCUGGAGGAUCCAGCACCGCCACCGCGGCAGUCACCUCGACGCAUGAGCGGGCAGAUGCGCGCAAGUUGGUAGGCCUUGUGAGCUACCUGCGACUGCUCUUCGAUAGUGACGUACCGGAGAGGGCGAAACUGCAGGAGUUUGGUAAAAGUCUUGUGCGCCUGUUGAUGGUGCGGUGCUGCUCGACGAUUAUGGCCUCUCUCCAGCACGUCGUGCACCACACGUAUAUCGGCACCACCACCGCCGCCGAGGAGGAGGGCGACGCAGAGGCAGCUCUGUCGGCGCUCUUCGUGCAGCUUGCAAAGGAAAUCGACGUGGCCACGAAGGCUCUGCUCGGCUGUGUUCGACUCAUCACCUCCAGCGCCGUCCUUUCAGAAGCGGCCAGUGCCCGUUUUCCUGUGCAGCUGUGUGUCGACGUGGUGAAGCAGACCCGUCGCGCACAGGUGUACUUCCAGUCACGCGUAGAGAGGGAGGAGUAUCAUCUGCUGCGCACGUUCGUCACGUCCUCCGAUACCGCGGCAAAAUCGACGGAGGGGUCAUUGGAGGACGUGGACGCGGUGCACGACGCCCUUGAGAGCGUAUCACCGGAGCGUGUGGCGGCACACGUGCUGCGCCGCGUUGAAGCGCUGCGGCGGCGAUGGGGCCCAUCUCUGGUGCACAGCGUCCGCAACAUCGGUGACGUCAUUGAGCCAUCUGUGAAGUUUCUGGCGACAGUUGCCGCCGUCCGUGCCGAGGGAGCACCGGCGCCGCUUGUGGCACUCAAAAAGGACGCCGCCCACGACCUCUUUUCGCUCUGCGAGCCUGUGACGGUGGCGACUACGGCGGCGGGCGGGCAGCCCUGUCUUGCCAAGUCGCUCUCCACAUGUGACUCGCCAUCUGUCGUGGCGGCGCCCGUUAGUGCGAGCAGCGCUACGCCACUGGCGUGGCGAGCAGCGGCGGGCGAGGUGCUCAUCCGCCUCGGCAGCAGCUUCUCCGCCGACUACCUCGCUGCCGUGGCGGCGUGCUGCGGGGACAGCAACGAAGGCGAGCUUCUCGCUACUCGGCUUCUCACGGACAUGUUGAAGUGCGUCGCGGCCCACGAUUUGCCGCUUCUGCGGUGUGUGCUGCUAGACGGUCGGUGGUACCGGGCCUUGUACGGCGGCAUCCUCAACUGCGUCUCCUCAAGCCAGCCGGCAGUGUUGGCUGCCGGGCUGGAUGCGCUCGGGCUGCUAACCACCGCCUGCCCAGUGGUGAUUGGCCGGGAGGUGGGUCUCCUUUACAGCAACGUUGUGCUGCGCCUGCUGGAGUCCUCGAACACCCCGCAGUAUGUGAAGCGCACUAUCGUGCUUCACUUCGUCACAACGUUCAUGGGCAGCGGCAGCACCCUCCCCGCCGACGGCGGCGGCGGCGCCAUUCCUCUCAUCCUCCACUUGUACCGCCUGUACGACCUCAAUGUGCACGCCCAUCAGCUGAACCUCAUGCAGCAGCUCACCAGCGCCCUCUCCCGCAUCGUGCGGGCCGCGCCAAAGGAAGAGCUCAUGCAGGACGCCGUGGUGCGGGAACAACUGCAAAUCCAGCAAGAGGCGGCGCCAAGUGCAGUGAUGACGGCGCCCGCGGCUCAGUUGGACGGGGCACAGCAUCGUGCUGAAGUUGCGAACGGCACCACGUCCUCGGAGCCGUCCUCGCUGGUCGCGGCCGCCCUCAACCCGGCCUCACUCUCACUCCCUGCCAUGGCGCUACACGGACUCGUCCGGAUCGUCGAACUCCUGACGACGCAGACGCCUCCCGAGGAGGAGAGCGGCAAGGAUGUGCUCGCCUCACUGCCUGCCAUGACGUGUCGCGAGUCUAAGCUCAAGGAGCAGCAGGAGGUCGACCGCUUCAACGCUGCUCCCAAGAAGGCGAUCUACAAGCUCUUCAACGUAACUGCCGAGGAGAACGCGAUUCCUGCCUCGCACGCCGACUUCAGCAGCCAGUGGGAGCACACGCUGCUCCCACCGCUUACGUCUGCUGCCGCAGCGAAGGUGGAGGCCGUCGCCGACUUUCUCAACCAAGUCAGCUCCCUCAACCCUGAGGCGGUGUCGGAGUUCCUGACGACGCCGGAGGUGUUUCCGCUGCAAGUCUGCAGAACCUACCUGCGGCGCCUGCCACUGGCCGGGUGCAGUGUGCUGGAGGCCAUCAGCGAGCUCCUCAUGCGUGUGCAGCUGCCCAAAGAGGGGCAGCGCAUCGAACGACUGCUCGAGUACUUCUCCGCCGCUUACUAUGAGGCAAACCGCGGGCACGGCAUCGACAGCGACAUCUUCCCGUUUAAAAGCGACACGGCGGUGUUCAUUGUCGUGGUCGCUACGGUGAUGCUCAACACCAACAUCCACAACCCUUCCGCAGGGAUGCGGUUAGAUGUGAAGGCGUUUCGCGGCCAGCUGCGCCGCUGCAACGACGACGAGAGCUUCGCCGACAGCUUCGUGGACGAUAUUUUCGACUGCAUCAGCACGCACCCGCUCGAGAGCAUCAAGAGCAUUGCCGCUGACGCGAACGCGAGCACCGACAGCACCAGCCGCGGGUCCUUCGACAUGUUCUUUGUAUCGCAGGAGGAGAAGCGGCAGCUGGCGUUUGGGGUGGAGCGGCAGCGCAUGGUGAGCGAGACGCGGCAGCUGCUGAAGCUGCGAACCCAGCAGGAGCCGCUCGCGCCUGCCCCGGAGGGGUGGUGGUGCGCUGUAGCGAAAGAUUUCUUCCUCAGCACCUGGUCCUCAGUGUGCGCCGUCUUCGGCCCUGCCAUGUACGAGGGCACCACUGCGGCGCCGUCGGAUGUCCUGCUGCAGUGUGUGCGGGGGCUGCAGUCGCUGCUGUGCAUGGCAGCCGCGUUCGACCUGCCAACGGAGUGCACCGUUACGCUGCUCACCCUGCUGCGCAUGGCGGAUGCGACGCCGGUGAGGGAGCAUUGCCGGCGAGCGGUGUUGGUCGUGGCCGCCACCACAUACGCCGUGAACUUUCCGGUAAGAUGCUGGGUUGCGGUGUGCCAGAUCAUUCUGGAGGUGCGCCGCACCGCGGCGGCGGCGACCCCGCCCCUCGUCGAAGACGUCUUCACACGGAUCGAGGGCAUCACGCGUCUUAGCGUCGAGACUGAAGAGAGGCGAGCGGCUGACGACUCCGCGCCGAAGACUGACCGGCCUACGGAGGCAAUCCACCGCGCCAUGGAAGGAGUCAUGACCACCAUCAGCGGCUACGCUGUCGGCGACGUCGCGAACCUCUCCUCCGCGCUGGCGGUGCUGCGUCGGGCCCUCGAGUACACGCGCAUUGUGCACGCGAAUCGCAGAACGGACAUUGUGUACUUCGUAAAUGUGCGCGACUUCACUGCGGUGGUGGCGCCGGCCUACGUGGAGCUCAUGAGGAAGCACAGCUCCAGCGACGACGGACUGCAGGUGCUCUUUGAGUGCCUGGUGGACUUGCUGUGCACGAUGUGGGUGUCCUACUCGACUAGCCGGGUCAUGGUCCCGGCACCGGCGGCGGCGGCGGCGGGGAAGGCGGAGACGGCGGAGACGCCGACGGUGGAUACCGCUCCAGCCGAAUUCGCGCAAAGCUUCCGCUUCCUGCGCAGCGUCUAUGACGUGACGCUCGCGUCCGCCUCUGAGGGGGCCGCGACGCUGCUGCAGAUGCACACGCUACAAGCCAUCAAGGAGGUGCUGUCGCGCACGGUACGCACGGCAGAGAUGACGGCCGCUGGCCAGCACCUCUCCCUCUACACCAUGAUGGCGUCGUGGCAAGAGGUGCUGUACCCGCUCGCCGUCGCGUUGUGCGACCGUAACAGCACCGCCGUCGAGGCAGGCAGUCUCGCCCUGUUGGUGCUGCGCAAGUUGGUCGCACUCUGCGGCGGCACCGGCACCGCAUCCUCCGAUCGACUUCCAGGGCCGGUGCGCGCCGCACUGCUGUGGUUGCUGGCUCAGCUUGCCUACAUGGGCGGUAUGUGCGGAGACGCGGACAGCGCUCAAGUGUGUGUGGCACUCCUGAGCAGCAUCUGCACGACCACGGUAGCAAUGUCCGUGACGGCCGCGUCGUCAUCAUCGCCGGGGUGUAGUACGGCCGGUCCGGCCUCUCCGGUGACCGCCGUGGCGGACCCGAGCACCGCUGCGCGGCUGAUGGAACAGCGCAACGCGCUAACACAGCAAGUGGUGACGUCCAUUGAAGAGAACCCGCACUAUGUCGUCCAGUGCACGCUAGCGCGGCUGUGCUUGCUGCUGCAGUGCGAGCGAGAACAGACGCGUGCGGAGGUGAUGCACCAGCUGCGCACCCUCUCGCUGCAGAUGCGGCCGGCGCAGCUGUGCCCCAUGGCGUUGGACUUGGCGGAGGUCGUGUUAGAGGGCACCAUCGGGCACGCCGCACACCACCGCCAGGCGCCACGCACGCAGUCGAGUCUUAUCCCCUUUCUCUUCUUCCAGAUGCCGGUGCCGGCGUCGAUGCGGCGGUGCUCGCGGACGUCAUUCCGGGCCACCGUGCCAGCAGCGCUCGGGUUCCUGGCCAACGAGCUGCUCACCGGCCUCAGUGGGGACGACCUGGCGAUGGCCGCCGAGUCGGUCAUGCGCCGCUGCCUCCUGCCGAUCCUCCUGAGCCCCAAUAGCCCCCAUCAAUGCCGCUUCAUCGCCGUCCGCUCCCUCUCCCAAUGCGUCUCCGUCUGCCUACCGCAGAACAGCGCUGCGCGGUCCCCGCAGCUGGCGCAGUGCGUGCUCGACUGCCUGGCGAUGGCACUGUAUGCGGUGCGCGUCCCGCUCACCUCCGUGGUGUCGCCCGACACCAGCUUCGUGGGCCGGCGCUGGCUGGACGCGCCGGCGAUCAGCUCUGCGUCAGGAUGGGCAGCGUACUGUGCUCAGGCUACUCACACGGUGGAGCUGAUGGACCGGGCAGAGCCGCAGUGGCUCGUGCGCGGGGCGGCUGCAGCAGCGGCGCAAGUGGCGCUAAGUACAUUGGCAGCAACGGCAACCGAAGAGCGGGAUGGCGCGGCCGCUACCCCGACAUCGAGUCGCGGGGGUUGCGCCACCAGCGAAGAGACACAUCGCGCCGACGGCGCCGCCUUCGUCCCGGACGAGGCGCUCAUCGAGUAUGUGAACCUGCUCGCCCAAAUGUUGGCCGGUGUGCCGAAAGAGCUGCAGGGUGUUGUGGCGAGCGCCGCCGCCGCUGCUGGCAGCGCCACGCCGUCUGCCGGCGCGGUGGCGGUGCCGGACAUGAAUACAGAUGACUGGAAGCUGCCCCGAGCCUCUGUCACGGUGCUGCUGCAGUUGUGCCUUCAGGCGGGCGGCACGCUCUUCGCCGUGUUGUGGCGCGUUAACCACCCGCACGAGGUGGAGCAGUACGCGAUGCAGUCGGUGGAGUCGAGACGGGAGGCGCUAGCGUUCACCAGAAACAGCGGCCUGUUGCCGCACGCGGCGAUACGCAGCGUCCUACAGUGCUACCUGAAAUUGGCCGUUCUGUCCACCGAGUACCCCUCUGCCGAGCUGCUGGAGGUUACCACGGACAUCAUCGAGGGAAUUCGCCAGGUGCAGGCUGCCACCCACGCCGCCGCGCCGUCGCCCUCGCCGCCGUCCUUGACAGUCGGCGGCGGCGCCGGGGCUGUGACGGCGGGGGCGAGCAGCACCUCCCUCGCUGCCGACGUCGCCUCGCUCCAGCGACUGCCGCCGCAAGAGCAGCAACACGUGCGCACCUGCAACUCAGGCAUGUACCAGCAGCUGUCUGUUGUCCUGGGGUAUCUGGUGCGGUUGCUGACGGGGCAAUCCACGUCGAUGGCGUCGGUGGCCGGUUGGGCAAGACGGCAGGAGGCCUUCGAGGCAAUGGCGCUGCACCCGCAGUUCUUCUCGUCCCUGGUCUCGCUGCUGACGCCGACGGCCGGUAUGCUGAUCAUCACGGUGCGCGACUACUUCGCAUGGUACAUCGCUCACGCACAGCUGCCGCAUCAGGCAAGCGAAAUCGCCGGGCCUGUCACGGUUAGCGGUGGCGCUGCCUGCUCGGGCGAGGCUACCUCAACCUGGGCAGCGGAGAGCGACGAGGAAGGCCCGUCAUCUUCGCAGCUGACGGCCUUGAACGGCACGCACGACGGCAAAGGCAGCGCUUUCGGCAGCUACAGUGUCAACGGUGGCGGGUCGGUGAAGCUCAGUUAUGUGAAGGCAGCUCGCACACUCUCGCCGAAGCCCUCAACGGUGGGCAUGGCAAGGAUGUGCAUGACGGAAGUGGUCAGCGAUGUGGCCGCGAAGAGCACCCGCAACUUCAAUAGUGAAUGACGGCAGGGAUGACGACGACGAGUCGCUGCUGAGUGCGCCCUCUCUACACCGCACCGUCAACGCCGUGGCAGGAAGUCCCGCGAAGGAGCACUGCUUCACAAGUCCAUUGAGGAGAGAAAGCGGUGGAGCGAAAGGCAGCACCACUGCAUGCCUGGGUGUCCCUCGUUGCGCGCAUGCGGUGGCGUGUGAUGUAUGAGGUGUGUGUUGGCCACAACGGUGGCGGCUGUUGUCUGGUCAGGUGCAAUAAGG
RNAcentral lists this unclassified non-coding RNA (7757 nucleotides) under Leishmania donovani. Its description in RNAcentral is "gene:LdHU3.07.0170(CDS-product:Sec7_domain_contai ning_protein_putative)". Lineage: Eukaryota; Euglenozoa; Kinetoplastea; Trypanosomatida; Trypanosomatidae. The record is from RNAcentral.